Non-coding RNA from Scophthalmus maximus (turbot), 74 nucleotides. Lineage: Eukaryota; Metazoa; Chordata; Actinopteri; Pleuronectiformes; Scophthalmidae. The record is from the annotation of a RefSeq genome assembly.
GUCUCUGUGGCGCAAUUGGUUGGCGCGUUUGGCUGUUAUCCAAAAGGUUGGUGGUUCAAGCCCACCCAGGGACG